UCAACACUUAUAUAAUUAGUAGUAUUAUGUUUUUUUUUAUAUAUUAGGGGUAGUUUAGUAAUCUCAUACUCAGUUAACACCAAAAACUAAGGCCCAUCCAUGAUAUGGACUAUCCGACUAACAAGUUAUCAAACCACAGGGAGCAACAAUGUAAUUUUUUUAAAGUUGAGGACUAAAGGUGAAAUUUUGACAAAUCACAUGGACAAUCCGGGCAUUUAUAUAUACUCUAAUUUGUAACACCUCUAGGCAUUAGGUGUUUGUAACUCUUGCAUUAGUUGUGGUAUAUGCUUUGUUAACUUGUAACUACUGUUAUUUGGGUUGUAAACAUAUAGGCUCCUGGAGAAUCAUUUCAACCCACACCGCCCCCAUCUCCUCCCUCUCCUCUCACCACCCAUUGAAACCUCCAUCGCCUCCAUGACGCUUUAUCACUCACUGGUUCAAAACCAUAACCAGAAACGGUAAAUCGCCGGACCGAAUGGAACCAUGUCCUCUCGCCGUCGAUUGCAUCGGAAUACGACGUCGCCGACGAAUCCUGGAAACUAUCCAAGUGUCAGAAACCCUCGCCGGAAAAAUUGAUGGUCCGACUCGACAUUUCCUCACCGGAUUACCGCACUCUGUUUGUCUUUUUCUCAGAAGUUCUCGGCCUAUUCUUUGUUCUACUGAAGGUGAGGUCAUCUUUGGUCGAAUGAUUGAAUGAUUAGGGUUUCGAUGUUGUGGGUUUGUCUUUGCAUCUAGCGUUUAAGUCGACUUGGGCUUUUCACGGCUGUUUUUCGGUGGUUGUUUUGCGAUUUGCUUUUGUGUGCUUUGAAUGUGUUGUGUGUUUGUUUAUGACCAAAAAUCGGUUGGUUCUUUGUUAACCUACUUCUGCUUGAAAGGGAGAGGAAGUCGGCCACCCCAACCCGACGAAGGGGUGAUAGCGGCGGCUUAUGGCCGAGGUCUUUAUUUCGACAACCAGAUUGCCAGCGAUGGCGGCUAGGGUUCCAGUUUAGGGGUUUUGAAACCAGAUCAACGCUGCUUAUUAUGGUUCACCACGAAUUCAACUCACCAAUUAGAUAUGAAUUUUACCCUCUUUUGUUAGUCAUUGUGGUCUAUUCUGUUGUCUGGCAUAUCUUUUGUUAUUGAAAGCAAGUCUAGGUUUGCUGAAAAAUAGGGUUACAUAGUUUAAUUUGGUGAUUUAUAGAAGCAUUUGUAGUGAAAUUUGAGUAAAAUUAGGAACAAAUCUAUGUUUCAAACUCUCAAUAAAAGGGUACUACUCAUAUCUGUCCAUAAUUUAAACUUAAAGAGUAGACGAACAAAUCUUGUGGGUUAAUGAAAUGCGAUAUGAGUUGCAGGAGAUUUAUGGAAUUGGUAAUUCAGUUGGAAAUCAUCCUGGUAAAGAAUGUCUUAUAUGUUUAUCAGAACCUCGGGGUAUCCUUUGUAUAAAACAAAAAAAGGGAAAAAAUACACUACGAAUACGGGGUUGAGCCGUAGCCCGUGCUACCCUUCUUAAUACAUUAGCUCCGCCCCUAGAUCUGUUUGGUUAUGAUGAGUUAGGCAUGAGUAAUGGCAAGUUGUUUUUACUGUUUUUCCAUUUUUUGUAGGACUAAAUGCGAGAGAUGCGUAAACGUCUUUGUUUGUUGAUACAGGAUCAAAAGAUUGGUCUUCUGGUGCAGCCGCUGUGGUAAGGAAGGCGGGUGGAGCAAUCACGCUGGAGGAGAUAAAGGUGGACCCCCAAAAGUGUCACAAGUUAGGAUCAAGAUGUGUCUAUUAAACAUUUUCAGACAGGAGAAGAAGUUUCUUUUGGAAAGAAAUGGGCCUCAUGUUGCAAAAGUAUCUGUUUUUGAGACUGUCAAAGAACCAUCUAAUUGGGUAUUGUGAGGUAGAUCUGUUUGAUUUUCUUAGCCGGGAUUCAGAUUCUGGCAUUGAAGUUAAGUUAUAGGAUCCAAUGGUGAAGUUGGCAACAUAUAUCUUUCAUGUUCUAUCGAGGACCCUACUGAAACAGGGAAAAGCUUUGCAAGGCGCAUUUUGUUGAUUGUUGCAUAUAAGCUAUUGGCAAAGUGAAAAAGUAUGUAGAAGGUCAAUGACAUUUGAUUUGUAGCUCAAAGUAGAUGGAAGAACAUGUUCAAAUCAAGAAGUUAUUAUCAGCGGAUGAUGACCUGAACAAGCUUUAUAAAAGUACGUUGAAGGUCAAUGGCGUUUGUAUUGUCAUACAUAUUUCAUGGUUAAUGUAACGCCCCGCGUUUUCAUGACUUUCCUAAUUUAGAAAUCGAGUUUUAAAAAUCUAUUUUAGAAGCUUGCCUCUUGCAAAAUUA
Molecule: long non-coding RNA, 2291 nt
Organism: Helianthus annuus (common sunflower)
Lineage: Eukaryota; Viridiplantae; Streptophyta; Magnoliopsida; Asterales; Asteraceae
Exons: 6
Source: RefSeq, a predicted model, not a curated record